GAUGAACGCUGGCGGCGUGCUUAACACAUGCAAGUCGAACGGAAAGCCCACAGCUUGCUGUGGUACUCGAGUGGCGAACGGGUGAGUAACACGUGGGUGAUCUGCCCUGUACUUCGGGAUAAGCUUGGGAAACUGGGUCUAAUACCGGAUAGGAAUCACAUGUGGGUGUGUGGUUGGAAAGCUUUUGCGGUAUGGGAUGAGCUCGCGGCCUAUCAGCUUGUUGGUGGGGUAAUGGCCUACCAAGGCGUCGACGGGUAGCCGGCCUGAGAGGGUGUACGGCCACAUUGGGACUGAGAUACGGCCCAGACUCCUACGGGAGGCAGCAGUGGGGAAUAUUGCACAAUGGGCGCAAGCCUGAUGCAGCGACGCCGCGUGGGGGAUGACGGCCUUCGGGUUGUAAACUCCUUUCGUCAGGGACGAAGCGAAAGUGACGGUACCUGGAUAAGAAGCACCGGCUAACUACGUG
RNAcentral lists this ribosomal RNA (466 nucleotides) under uncultured bacterium. RNAcentral describes it as "partial 16S ribosomal RNA". It matches the Rfam family "Bacterial small subunit ribosomal RNA", at positions 28 to 507 of the family's 1533-position model. The record is from RNAcentral.